GACGAACGCUGGCGGCGCGCUUAACACAUGCAAGUCGAACGGAAAGGCCUGCUUUCCCUUGUGGAUUGCGGGUACUCGAGUGGCGAACGGGUGAGUAACACGUGAGUGAUCUGCCCCCAACUUGGGUAUAAGCCUGGGAAACUGGGUCUAAUUCCCGAUAGGACUGCAGGGUGGUGCCUGUGGUGGAAAACGAUUUUCUAGUGGUUGGGGAUGAGCUCGCGGCCUAUCAGCUUGUUGGUGGGGUAAUGGCCUACCAAGGCGACGACGGGUAGCCGGCCUGAGAGGGUGGACGGCCACAUUGGGACUGAGAUACGGCCCAGACUCCGACGGGAGGCAGCAGUGGGGAAUAUUGCACAAUGGGCGGAAGCCUGAUGCAGCGACGCCGCGUGGGGGAUGACGGCCUUCGGGUUGUAAACUCCUUUCGACCGCGAGGAAGCCACCUGGUUGGAAGGGUGGUGACGGUAGUGGUAGAAGAAGCACCGGCUAACUACGUG
This 494-nucleotide ribosomal RNA is filed under the name uncultured bacterium. RNAcentral's name for it is "partial 16S ribosomal RNA". It matches the Rfam family "Bacterial small subunit ribosomal RNA", at positions 28 to 507 of the family's 1533-position model. The record is from RNAcentral.